AUCAGUUUGCAGGCACAACUGCACCAAGAUUCAAAUUCAUUCUAUGGCUUGCAUUGUAUAGAAGACUGGCAACAGUGGAGAGAUUAUUGAAGUUUAGUAUACAGAUUCCAAAACAGUGUUUUUUUGCAGGCAAGCAGAUGAGUCUUUUGAAUCACCUAUUUUCUGCUUGCCCGACAUAUUUGGAACUACGGAACAGAUUGCUAAGUUGGAUGGGAUACCAGAGAACCAUUUGGGAUUGGAAUAGGGAGGUUGAAUGGGUUAGCAAGAAUGCCAAGAGGAGAAACGGGCAAG
This 291-nucleotide long non-coding RNA is filed under the name Nicotiana benthamiana. RNAcentral's name for it is "long non-coding RNA (NBEN_LNC015929)". Lineage: Eukaryota; Viridiplantae; Streptophyta; Magnoliopsida; Solanales; Solanaceae. The record is from RNAcentral.